Molecule: ribosomal RNA, 253 nt
Filed under: uncultured bacterium
Lineage: Bacteria
Description: partial 16S ribosomal RNA
Rfam family: Bacterial small subunit ribosomal RNA
Source: RNAcentral
UACGUAGGGGGCUAGCGUUGUCCGGAAUCAUUGGGCGUAAAGCGCGUGUAGGCGGUCCGGUAAGUCCGCUGUGAAAGUCGAGGGCUCAACCCUCGAAUGCCGGUGGAUACUGUCGGGCUUGAGUACGGGAGAGGCGAGUGGAAUUCCUGGUGUAGCGGUGAAAUGCGCAGAUAUCAGGAGGAACACCGAUUGCGAAGGUAGCUCGCUGGAACGUUACUGACGCUGAGACGCGAAAGCGUGGGGAGCAAACAGG